UACGUAGGGUGCAAGCGUUGUCCGGAAUUAUUGGGCGUAAAGAGCUCGUAGGCGGUCUGUCGCGUCGGAUGUGAAAACCCAGGGCUCAACCCUGGGCCUGCAUUCGAUACGGGCAGACUAGAGUUCGGUAGGGGAGACUGGAAUUCCUGGUGUAGCGGUGAAAUGCGCAGAUAUCAGGAGGAACACCGGUGGCGAAGGCGGGUCUCUGGGCCGAAACUGACGCUGAGGAGCGAAAGCGUGGGAGCAAACAGG
Molecule: ribosomal RNA, 252 nt
Filed under: uncultured bacterium
Lineage: Bacteria
Description: partial 16S ribosomal RNA
Rfam family: Bacterial small subunit ribosomal RNA
Source: RNAcentral